This 253-nucleotide ribosomal RNA is filed under the name uncultured bacterium. RNAcentral describes it as "partial 16S ribosomal RNA". It matches the Rfam family "Bacterial small subunit ribosomal RNA", at positions 524 to 776 of the family's 1533-position model. The record is from RNAcentral.
UACGGAGGGUGCGAGCGUUUAUCGGAAUUACUGGGCGUAAAGCGUGCGUAGGCGGAUGCUUGAGUCGGAUGUGACAGCCCUGGGCUCAACCUGGGAAUGGCAUUCGAUACUGGGCAUCUAGAGUGUGGUAGAGGGGGGUAGAAUUCCUGGUGUAGCGGUGAAAUGCGUAGAUAUCAGGAGGAAUAUUGGAGGAGAAGGCGACCACCGGGACCUACACUGACGCUGAGGUACGAAAGCGUGGGUAGCAAACAGG